UUCUCCAUUCCAUGAAUGUGACAUUUGUGUUUACUUUGACAUUUAAAUUGGAGAAAAAUAAAAAAUUUUAACUCAAAAUAUGGCACUAAACUUCGAUACAUGGUCUGAGUGACAAGCAAAUUGCUUGUGUAAGGGGGUUCUCCUCUGUAACAAGUGCUUCAAUAUUAACACCGUUACUAGAAUGGAUAAAAUCAGGUAAGUAUGGACCAGAUCAGAAGACAACAGAUUCGACUCGCGAGAGAGAGGCGGUUUGCACAUGAAGAAUGAAGCACACGGAAGCAGGAUCUAUAUUUCAAAGGUCGAUCACAUGGGUGGCUCGCCAGUCCGCGCGCCGCUGUAGCUCUCCAGGGAAGGCAAGCAGGGCGGACGAAUCCAGGAUCCAGCACAGCAGUUCAAAUCCAACAACAAAAAAACAACUCCAACAAAAAAAAAAACCCGGC
This is a long non-coding RNA of Anguilla anguilla (European eel), 440 nucleotides long. RefSeq lists it as uncharacterized. NCBI's taxonomy places the organism in Eukaryota, Metazoa, Chordata, Actinopteri, Anguilliformes, Anguillidae. The transcript is spliced from 2 exons. The record is from RefSeq and is a predicted model, not a curated record.